RNAcentral lists this ribosomal RNA (253 nucleotides) under uncultured bacterium. RNAcentral describes it as "partial 16S ribosomal RNA". It matches the Rfam family "Bacterial small subunit ribosomal RNA", at positions 524 to 776 of the family's 1533-position model. The record is from RNAcentral.
UACAGGGGGGGCAAGCGUUGUUCGGAAUUACUGGGCGUAAAGGGUUCGUAGGUGGCCAACUAAGUCAUACGUGAAAUCCCUCAGCUUAACUGGGGAACUGCGUCUGAUACUGGAUGGCUUGAGUGUAGGAGAGGAAUGCGGAAUUCCAGGUGUAGCGGUGAAAUGCGUAGAUAUCUGGAGGAACACCGGUGGCGAAGGCGGCAUUCUGGACUACAACUGACACUGAGGAACGAAAGCCAGGGGAGCAAACGGG